RNAcentral lists this ribosomal RNA (482 nucleotides) under uncultured bacterium. Its description in RNAcentral is "partial 16S ribosomal RNA". It matches the Rfam family "Bacterial small subunit ribosomal RNA", at positions 30 to 507 of the family's 1533-position model. The record is from RNAcentral.
AUUGAACGCUGGCGGCAUGCCUUACACAUGCAAGUCGAACGGUAACAGGUCUUCGGAUGCUGACGAGUGGCGAACGGGUGAGUAAUACAUCGGAACGUGCCCGAUCGUGGGGGAUAACGAAGCGAAAGCUUUGCUAAUACCGCAUACGAUCUACGGAUGAAAUCAGGGGACCGCAAGGCCUUGCGCGAACGGAGCGGCCGAUGGCAGAUUAGGUUGUUGGUGGGAUAAAAGCUUACCAAGCCGACGAUCUGUAGCUGGUCUGAGAGGACGACCAGCCACACUGGGACUGAGACACGGCCCAGACUCCUACGGGAGGCAGCAGUGGGGAAUUUUGGACAAUGGGCGAAAGCCUGAUCCAGCCAUGCCGCGUGCAGGAUGAAGGCCUUCGGGUUGUAAACUGCUUUUGUACGGAACGAAAAGACUCUGGUUAAUACCUGGGGUCCAUGACGGUACCGUAAGAAUAAGCACCGGCUAACUACGUG